ACCGAAGGGCCUAUGAUGAAAAUUAAAUACGCCAUCGACAAAGAUAGCACAGCGACGUCACACACGCUGCGAUACUGGAACAAGAAAGAAAAGUGCGGCAUUUUUACUCGCCCAGACAGCACAUGCGAGCAGCGCGUCUGGAAACCGAAGAUUCAGAGCACGCUUGAGUGUGAUAAAGUGUACAAAACGCUUUGUCCUGGUUGGAGCGCCCAGGUCUACAAAUACAGCUGCGUAAAUCCAAACGUUAUUUGCGUUGGUAUCCAGAAUUGCUGAAAGUAACAAGUGCAACCAAAUAAACGUGCUUACUGUUAUGCUCCCAAGUACUCACAAUAUGCAUAAGUCGUUAACACUCGCCGGUACAAUCACAUGCGCAAUCCCAUUUCUCCACCCACAUCGAUCACUGCUUGCCUUCAAAUGCAUUAUAAAUCAGUGUACCCACCACACAGUCAUCUGUGUUGCUUAAAGUUAAAGUAGCACUAUUAUGUACUUUCUAAGGCCUCAUUGGUGACGUGAGAAAAAUGUCACAGGCCUAUGCGGCAGACGCAACAGUCACAGCGUAAGCUGAUGGAGCGGCUCAAGAGUAUAGCUCCAAUUUCGACACCACGCACAACGGGGUCUUCGCCGCGACAGUCACUUUGCUUCGAUUUGACUGAGAACAAUGAAGUGUCCGCCCGGCGUCGGCGGUGAGGUGUGGCUUGUAAUGCUCUCUGCACAACUACCAGCUGAGCCCGAUGAUGCCUGGUUGCAGCCGCGCACGUAACUCUAGGAUUCGCUUCUUCUGCAGCGGCUCGUACGUUGCGGGGAAAUGCCGUAACGUGUACCGAAUAGGUAUCCAGAAUACGUGGCGCACAUCUCACAACCCUUGACCCGUGCCAUGG
Dermacentor silvarum is the source of this 878-nucleotide long non-coding RNA. RefSeq lists it as uncharacterized. The record is from RefSeq and is a predicted model, not a curated record. NCBI's taxonomy places the organism in Eukaryota, Metazoa, Arthropoda, Arachnida, Ixodida, Ixodidae. The transcript is spliced from 3 exons.